This 283-nucleotide ribosomal RNA is filed under the name uncultured bacterium. RNAcentral's name for it is "partial 16S ribosomal RNA". It matches the Rfam family "Bacterial small subunit ribosomal RNA", at positions 338 to 618 of the family's 1533-position model. The record is from RNAcentral.
CCUACGGGGCGCAGCAGUGAGGAAUAUUGGUCAAUGGGCGGGAGCCUGAACCAGCCAAGCCGCGUGAGGGAAGAAGGCACAGCGAAUCGUAAACUUCUUUUGUAAGGGAACAAAGGCGGGGACUAGUAUCCGGCUGAGGGUAUCUGAAGAAAAAGCAUCGGCUAACUCCGUGCCAGCAGCCGCGGUAAUACGGAGGAUGCAAGCGUUAUCCGGAUUUAUUGGGUUUAAAGGGUGCGCAGGCGGCCUGUUAAGUUAGCGGUAAAAGCCCGGGGCUCAACCCCGG